UGGGUUGGUCGGAUCCCUGCUYGUGCAGCGACGGCCGCUCUUUCAUCCCUUUUCAUUCUUGUUCCAAGAGCGUUAUGCCCUGGACCAAUUCGGUUGCCUGUGUUGUAUACCUACGCCGAUGGAAUUCGCUCGUCCAAUUGCCCCUUAUUCACCUUGUGCUGCUUACGCAAUGCUGGUUGAACCAUGCAGUGUCCUUUGUUGUCCGUUCUUGCCUCGUGUUCGCGCGACGCAUAAAAUGGCCAAUGUUGUGACACUCGAAUUCUCGGAUACGGAAACGUACAAAGGGCAACGGGUCUUUGGCCUUGAUUUGCCCAGACUGAGCGUUCUCGCUUCUUACGAACGACUGUCGCGCCCGUAUUGACCUGAGGAUACUUUCGGUCCGACUGGCUCAUGCGGUGCCGACGUCGAAGAGGAGUGCUC
RNAcentral lists this unclassified non-coding RNA (420 nucleotides) under Sinopanax formosanus. RNAcentral's name for it is "partial may contain external transcribed spacer and partial 18S ribosomal RNA gene". The record is from RNAcentral. Lineage: Eukaryota; Viridiplantae; Streptophyta; Magnoliopsida; Apiales; Araliaceae.